GAUGGUCUCUGGCCAUCCGAGUUGUAAUCUAUAGAAGUGUUGCCUAUGCUGGACCAUGUACAAGUCUUCUGGAAUGAAGCAUCAUAGAGGGUGAGAAUCCCGUCUUUGACAUGGACUCCCCAGUAUAUUGUGGCAUGCUCUCAAAGAGUCGAGUUGUUUGGGAAUGCAGCUCUAAAUGGGUGGUAACCUCCAUCUAAAGCUAAAUAUUGGCGAGAGACCGAUAGUGAACAAGUACCGUGAGGGAAAGAUGAAAAGAACUUUGGAAAGAGAGUUAAACAGUACGUGAAAUUGUUGAAAGGGAAACGCUUGAAGUCAGUUGCAUUGGUCAGGGAUCAACCUAGCUAGUUUUGCUUGGUGUAUUUCCUGGUCAAUGGGCCAACAUCAGUUUUGGCUGCCAGAGAAGGGCAGAAGGAAUGUGGCACCUCCGGGUGUGUUAUAGCCUUUUGUCAUAUAUGGCGGUUAGGACUGAGGAAUGCAGCAUACCCUUUAUGGGCCGGGUCUUUGACCACGUUUUGUGCUUUGGAUGUUGGCAUAAUGGCUUUAAUCGACCCGUCUUGAAACACGGACCAAGGAGUCUAACAUGCCUGCGAGUGUUUGGGUGGAAAACCCAAGCGCAUAAUGAAAGUGAAAGUUGAGAUCCCUGUCAUGGGGAGCAUCGACGCCCGGACCAGAGCUUUUAGCAAUGGAUCUGCGGUAGAGCAUGUAUGUUGGGACCCGAAAGAUGGUGAACUAUGCCUGAAUAGGGCGAAGCCAGAGGAAACUCUGGUGGAGGCUCGUAGCGAUUCUGACGUGCAAA
RNAcentral lists this ribosomal RNA (796 nucleotides) under Amanita cf. infusca Kew 29011. Its description in RNAcentral is "eukaryotic LSU rRNA". It matches the Rfam family "Eukaryotic large subunit ribosomal RNA", at positions 123 to 897 of the family's 3401-position model. Lineage: Eukaryota; Fungi; Basidiomycota; Agaricomycetes; Agaricales; Amanitaceae. The record is from RNAcentral.